Molecule: ribosomal RNA, 513 nt
Filed under: Triticum aestivum (bread wheat)
Lineage: Eukaryota; Viridiplantae; Streptophyta; Magnoliopsida; Poales; Poaceae
Description: partial small subunit ribosomal RNA
Source: RNAcentral
AUGAAGGGAGGCAAGGCGAUGGGCCUGGAUUGUAUCCCCAUUGAGGUGUGGAAAGGUCUCGGGGACAUAGCGAUAGUAUGGCUAACCAAGCUUUUCAACCUCAUUUUUCGGGCAAACAAGAUGCCAGAAGAAUGGAGACGGAGUAUAUUAGUACCAAUCUUCAAGAACAAGGGGGGUGUUCAGAGUUGUACUAAUUACCGUGGAAUUAAGCUGAUGAGCCAUACAAUGAAGCUAUGGGAGAGAGUCAUUGAGCACCGCUUAAGAAGAAUGACAAGCGUGACCAAAAAUCAGUUUGGUUUCAUGCCUGGGAGGUCGACCAUGGAAACCAUUUCUUGGUAUGACAACUUAUGGAGAGAUAUAGGGAGCAAAAGAAGGACUUGCAUAUGGUGUUCAUUGACUUGGAGAAGGCCUAUGAUAAGAUACCGCGGAAUGUCAUGUGGUGGGCCUUGGAGAAACACAAAGUCCCAGCAAAGUACAUUACCCUCAUCAAGGACAUGUACGAUAAUGUUGUGA